RNAcentral lists this ribosomal RNA (450 nucleotides) under uncultured bacterium. RNAcentral's name for it is "bacterial SSU rRNA". It matches the Rfam family "Bacterial small subunit ribosomal RNA", at positions 354 to 796 of the family's 1533-position model. The record is from RNAcentral.
GUAGGGAAUCUUCCACAAUGGACGAAAGUCUGAUGGAGCAACGCCGCGUGAGCGAAGAAGGUUUUCGGAUCGUAAAGCUCUGUUGCCGGAGAAGAACGAGUGCCAGAGGAAAUGCUGGUGCUGUGACGGUAUCCGGCCAGAAAGCCACGGCUAACUACGUGCCAGCAGCCGCGGUAAUACGUAGGUGGCAAGCGUUGUCCGGAAUUAUUGGGCGUAAAGCGCGCGCAGGCGGCUUCUUAAGUCUGAUGUGAAAUCUUGCGGCUCAACCGCAAAAGGUCAUUGGAAACUGGGGAGCUUGAGUGCAGAAGAGGAGAGUAGAAUUCCACGUGUAGCGGUGAAAUGCGUAGAGAUGUGGAGGAAUACCAGUGGCGAAGGCGGCUCUCUGGUCUGUUACUGACGCUGAGGUGCGAAAGCAUGGGGAGCAAACAGGAUUAGAAACCCCAGUAGUCC